This 380-nucleotide small RNA is filed under the name Pongo abelii (Sumatran orangutan). RNAcentral describes it as "processed transcript". The record is from RNAcentral. Lineage: Eukaryota; Metazoa; Chordata; Mammalia; Primates; Hominidae.
UGGAGGCGGAGAAACAGAAGAAACUCUGAAGAAAUUGUUCCAAGAAGAGGUCACCAAGGUCACCAAAUUCAUUGAAGGUGGUGAUGGUCAUUUAUUUGAAGAUGAAGAAAUUAAAAGACUGCUUCAGGGAGUGAAUUAAAAACAUGUAUAUGAUAGAAAAAAUUGGACUUCAUGCUGAGUAUAGAUGAUACAUAUAAAAGAAGUCAAAAUUUGGAGAAAAAAUUUAAAAAGAUAAGUAGAAAAAUGAAGUAACUGUAGAAACCAUAUUUACUCUUUGAUCUCAAAUGCCCAAAAACUGAGUGAAAAUGUGAAUUUAGGCCUACCAGGUAGUCUUGUCAAUAAACUAAAAGAAAAACAGGAGAAUUGAGAAAUAUGUUACA